UGCAGCCAUCUGUGCUCUUAGACGCUUCCUUUAUGUACUUUGCAAUGGUAAAACUGGCUGCUGCAGUGGUCAUUCAGGCUCUUUUUUUCCCCAGUCAUUAUCCAGUGUGAGCUGCAGCAGUUUGAAUCUUCCUCCAACCCACUCAUUGCAUGUGUUAACGGUGGAGCUAGAGAGCCUGCUCCUAAAGCUGAGAGGAGAAAGCACUGUCUCAUUCACUCCAUGGCAGAACUGGCUCAUUUGCUGUAAAUGUGCAGCGGCUAAAGAGCAAGUGGGGAGUCUGCAGAAAUAGAAAGAAUCAGAAUUCAAUAGCGCUUCUGAAAUGCAUGUCAAAUUUAAAAGCUAUAAAGCUAGAAGAUUGUUUGGACUUCCCUUCAUGUAAAUAUGAAGUGAUGCUACUGUCUUUCCUGGAGCUUCUCCAUUAACCACAGCUAGAAUUCUGUCCUACUGAAAUAUAUUGUUGAUAGCUUGUUUAAUACAGCAAUAAAUGACUGUAAAUUGUGGCCCACUGGACCAAACUAGGUUAUACUCCUGUAGCCCUGUCAGUAUUUUCUACCAAAGAAAUAUAUGAUAAAUAAUUGGAUAGCAACAGGAUUUGUCUCAGUUGUUUACUCAGCAAGCAUUAGGGUGGCAGACCUGGCAACCCACCUCUUCAUCUUCUACAGAACAUGACUAGUGCCAGUUACAGCGUCAACAAAUGCCCCAAACCAACAGAGUGUCAUCGAGGUCCUGACCAAUCAAUCAUCUUACACAAUUUUUUAAUCAUUUUUUGAACAAAGAUGAAGAAUAUGAUCCUUAGAAAUUAGUUUGAGGAGUCAAGAAGGGGAGAUUUUUGUUUUAUUGUAUUUUCAUCCUAAGCUUGCAGGAGAGAAGGAUUACCUAAGUGGAGACCUGAAGGUGAUUUCCAUUUCCUCUCACCCCCUCACGCAUGUGUGACUUUUGGCAAACCAGCACGUUAUGAAAUCCAAACAUUCACCUGCAGGUAGAAAUCAGACUCUGUGUGUGCCACCGCUCACCCAUCUGCCUUACAGACCACAAAGCCUUGUUGCACGGGGCUGAGAGGAAUUGGGAGCUGUAAGAACAUCUUCGGUACUCCAGUUUGCAAGUGCAACCCAAGAAGCAUAUAAAAGAGUAAGUUUCGAGUCACUUUGAGUUCCUUCCAGAUUCUUUCAUGCCAUUUAGGCAAUAUUUAUCUCUAGAAUAAUUCUACUCACAGACACACAUGCUAAUAGCAUCACCAUCUUCAGAAAAUAUCCCUGUAGACUAGGGCAUUCUAGCACUGUUUUGCGUUUUGCAUAUUUGAGAUUUUUUUCAGGGGGAAGCAUGACAUUUUACUGAAAUUUAGAGAGAAACAAAUGACAAAAAAGUAGGCACUGGGCCAGACAAUAGCAAUAGAGUCAGUGUCAUAUUUUUUCAAGGAAGGUAGGUAUCGAACUUAGCUGUUAAGCUACAAAACAUGGCUACUAUAUUUAUCUUUUAAACAUAAGUAGGUUGGGAAGAUUUUCAAAAAAGGAAAGAAAGUCCUUGGAUCAUUCAACCUAGCUUUUCUUUUCCUGAUAAUUAACAGAUUACGAACACUUUAGGCAUAUGAAUACAUUUUGUACUCAGGGAGAGGUGCAUUUUCUUUAGUUCUACUUCACUGAUUGUUGUAUGAAGAUGCAACACACUAUAGUGCUGAUAAAAGACUGAAAUCUAUUUCCUCUCCUUAACCAACAAUCAUGUGUCAAAAAUCAUUAAGUUAAUUUUCCAUUAAAAAUAUCCUGCCCAUUAACUCCAGUUGUAAAUCAAACAAGAAACCGAUACAGACAUUAAAUUCUUAGAUAUCUCAAAUUAACCAUAUCAGUGCUACACUGUGCCCAUCUCUAAUGGAAGGAGGCAGAGUUCAGCAGUAGGCUCAGCAGCAAGAUUUCUUUGUGGUCUCGCAGCACCUUCAGGUGCCCCAAAAUAGUCACAAGGGCCAUGAUAGAUUGUAGGGCGCUGCAGGAAUCUUCAGGCCGCCAAAGCCAUGCUGGAGUCGCUUGGGCAAGGACAGCAGGAGAAAUAUGGAAACAUUUGUCCAUGUCCAGUUUAAAUCAGAUACAGCCUUUGGACAGAUACUAUCUUUCUGUCUGGUAUUUUACAAUAAGUCCAGUGUUCCUGCAGUUACAGCCGGAGCUCUUUGAUUAGUACCAGCAUGCAAGUGAUCAGUAUAAAAACAAUGCAGAUAUUGGAAAUACAGUAUGUAUAUGAUGUUUAAUCAGGUGUGAUGACAGAAGACAGAAGGAAUUUCAUACUGUUACCCAAUAGAUGCAAGCACACACUCCAGUAAAAGAAAUGUUUAAUUGGAGGUAAUUUUGCUUGAAAACCCCCAAAGCAGAUGAAUUAGCUGAUUAGUGUUUUGUGGCUAUUUUUAAGAAGAGCUGUGAUGAAGAAAUCUGAAUGAGCAGGAGAAGCUGUGAUGGUUUGAGUAGAACAUCCAACAAUACUAAAAGGCUAAGAGGGAUCAGAAGAAUCAAUAAAUUACUUUUCUUCUUCUCUGUCUGGCCUCCUCUGUUUGUGACUGCUACCUUCUCAGCUACUCUCUGGGUAACAGUAAUUGGAGCCAGGGGAUUGUUUGGUUCAAUGCCGAAAACAGGUUUUAGUAGCUAUAAAUACCGAUUAGUAGAUGACCCGUUAAAAAUCGAAGGGGCAUGUUAGAUUCUUUUGUUUUGGUAAAGGAAAUGUUUUCGUAAAAGAAACCCAUUAUAUAUAUAUGUAUAUGUUGAGUUUUUCAUAUAGUUAUCUGUUUUGGUGUGACUAGUUUUGAUGAAUGAAGUGUUUUCAGCAUAGCCAGCUAACUCGUCAGCUAUUUGCCCCAUUUGAGACUGGAAACUAUAUUCAUACUCCAAGAGAAACUUGCCCUGAAGAAACUGGCUAAACAUACAGCAUCAAGCCACAGACACUGUGUCCAAGGUGCUCUACUGUAUACGUAUCUCCUCUGGGGGAAGAUGAAAAAAGAAACGACACCAAAGGGAUAUGAAGUCAUACUGCUUAACAAGCAUUGGAAGGCACUCAAAGACUACAGUAAUUAUCAUGGUGGAAGGACCAACUUGACUAGUGUGGGACAGGGUCAAAAAUUAUACUCUCACCACAAAGGGUGUCACAAACAUUAAGAAGAUGUUUGUGUGGUUUUAGUUUUGUACACAAGGCUUGGCCCCACUGGAAAGGAUUAAAUAAAAAAAAAAGUCUAAACCCAAUUUUAGAGUGUUCCCUAAACCAAUAGCCAGGGAUGAAUAAACACGUCCUGCUGCUGAAAGCCUGAGCUGAGUAAUGUAUUGGGAUACACACAGACUCCAGACAGCAGUCCCCAGGCAGCUGAGUUGUGAUCACACGGACACGCUCAGUCCUGGAAGCGGGCGGGUGAAAUCAGUGACUCUGGUUGUUGCUCAUGGUAGCUCAGCACAUUCCCUGCUGACCUGGCUGAAAGAGUGCUUUUAUGAAACACAACUGAUUAAAGAAACAAAUGAUGUAAAAUGAAAUGUCAUCAUGGGUACAGGGUUUAGGGCUAUACAAACAACUGUGGAUUGAAAUCAUUAGACUCUCUCUGCUCUGGAAUGGUUCAGUAUUUUUAGAGGAUUAAAAUGCCU
Molecule: non-coding RNA, 3602 nt
Organism: Phalacrocorax carbo (great cormorant)
Lineage: Eukaryota; Metazoa; Chordata; Aves; Suliformes; Phalacrocoracidae
Source: RefSeq, a predicted model, not a curated record